This 480-nucleotide ribosomal RNA is filed under the name uncultured bacterium. RNAcentral describes it as "partial 16S ribosomal RNA". It matches the Rfam family "Bacterial small subunit ribosomal RNA", at positions 28 to 523 of the family's 1533-position model. The record is from RNAcentral.
GACGAACGCUGGCGGCGUGCUUAACACAUGCAAGUCGAACGGUAAGGCCCUUCGGGGUACACGAGUGGCGAACGGGUGAGUAACACGUGGGUGAUCUGCCCUGCACUUUGGGAUAAGCCUGGGAAACUGGGUCUAAUACCGAAUACACCCUGCUGGUCGCAUGGCCUGGUGGGGGAAAGCUUUUGCGGUGUGGGAUGGGCCCGCGGCCUAUCAGCUUGUUGGUGGGGUGAUGGCCUACCAAGGCGAGGAGGGGUAGCCGGCCUGAGAGGGUGACCGGCGACGCGGGGACUGAGAUACGGCCCAGACUACGACGGGAGGCGGCAGUGGGGAGUAUUGAACAAGGGGCGCAAGCCGGAUGCAGCGACGCCGCGUGAGGGAUGACGGCCUUCGGGUUGUAAACCUCUUUCAAUAGGGACGAAGCGCAAGUGACGGUACCUAUAGAAGAAGGACCGGCCAACUACGUGCCAGCCGCCGCCGUAA